GGCAGGAGGGAGGGGACAGUCGAGGCGGCAGACACCGCGCGGUCAAAGGCACAGCGGAGGCAAUUGGAGAAGUGCACGCGGUGCAAGUGGCCAGGUCUGCUGCAGGGGGCAGGGGCGCAUCACUGGCUUUGGGGCCAGACAACGGGGGUGGCAGAGCCGGGUCCCGCACCCUGGGGCCCCCACCUGCACCACCAUGAGGGUCUUGCUGUCGCCGCUGAGCGAGUCCUGCAGCAGGCGGCUGCCCUCCGCCCCCGACUUGCCCACGCGCUCCGAGCCGGCCAGGUCCACCAGGUUCAGCUUUCCUGCGGGGAGGGCGCGGGGCAGGUCACGGCCGCCCGAGGUGGGGUGGGGCAGGGGGGGGCUCCGGGCCCGCCCCCCGCCCCCGGCUCACCCGUGGUGCGCAGGCCCGUGCUGCAGUCCACGCCGCGCACCGUCACGAUGAGCAGCGCGUGCGAGCGCGAGCUGUGCUCGUUCAGACGAGCAAACAGGCUCAGAGAGGCGAGAAGACUGCCCCAAAGUCACACUCAGGACAAGGCAGAGCUUGAAUUGGAACCCCCCAAGCCAGGGGGUCCCCAGCAUCCUCCCCCACCCCCCACCCAGCAGAUCCAGCCCUGCUGCCCGCCAGCCCCACACCUUGUGGAUGUCGCCCACACUCUGCACCCGGAACUCGGUCAGCCCCGGCACAUACAGCUGCCCGCUGCCGUCCGGGCACAGCCGGAUCUCCAGCUUCUCCUGGGGCUCCUUCCCCAGCAGGUCCCUGGAGGGGCAGGCGGCACAGUCACUCCCUCCUCUAGGCCUCUGUCUGGAAGGUCCCCCAGCCCUCUCCCCCUCCUUCAGCCCAUCUCUGCCCCUCUGGCCCCAACGCUGCACUCAGAUGAAGAGGUGCCAGUUUGAUGCCCCCAAAAGCUCUGGGGCCUGCACUGCUCCUGCCUCCCACUGAGCCCCCCACCCUCAUCACCACCUGGAGGGGCAGGAACACUGCUCAGCCCACAGGAAGGGUGAGGAGAAAAAUGUUUCCAAGGCAGGCUCAGAGAGCCCCUCCUGUGGGGAGGGGGCCUGGGACCCCCAAUCUGCCUGGGCUGAGUCGGACAUACGUCUGGGCCCCUUCCUGGGCUCCACACAGCCUCACCUGGACCCCUGGACUGCCUUCAGGGCCACCCUGCCUCCCAGCCCCCAUGGGUGAGGCCGGGCUCCGUGCCGCUGCCUCCCACCUGAGGACCUCGUUGUAGAUCUCGGCCCCGCUGACGGUGAUGGUGUACUCCCAGUCGGAUUCCUUCUCAUGCACCUCAGAGAAGAGCAGCUGCAGGGCUCGCUGGUUGAUGCCUGGGUUCUCGGGGGUCCCCUGGGGGUGGAGGGAGAGGCCCUGUGAGCCUGGCAUCCCCACUCCCCCAGCCGCCCCUCACAGGUGAGCCUCCCUGCUCAAAGCCCCACCUGCCUGUCAGUCUGCCUCCCCAAAACGCCCUCCUCCAUCCGCGGAGGGAGGGUGACCACGAGCUGGGAGACGGAGCCCUGCCAGGCCCUGGGAGCCACAGUAAGCGGCAGGUGCCCCAUGACACCUCCAUGUGGCCCAUCUCCCACUGCCCAGGUCCCCUGCGGGGCUGAGACCCCACCCCAUUCACCUCGAUAUUCCCUGCGGCCUAGUGUGGGGCGGCCUUAACCCCAGAGCUCAGUAAACACAUGUAGUCAAACAAAAGUGACAGCCACUGAGGGGCCAUGCCCCUGCCUGGACUCUGCCCCGGCAGCCGCGCCUCUGAUGACAGUUUGUGACAGUACCCCAGGUACCAUCACCUCUGGGACUGGCCGCUUGAAACCUUUCAGCCCCACGGCAGGAGGGAGGCAGAGGUGGAGCAGAGCCGAGUGGCCUGGCACUGAGGCCCCAGCCCUGCUCUCUCCCUGCUGUGCCACCUCGGCAAGGUGCGCCCCUCUCCAGGGUCAGCCGGAGCACAGUGGGCUCUGCUCCCAUGGUGGCCGUGGGGGUGACCAUGCUGAAACCUCGGUCAGCGGCAGCAAGGGGCAGGCUUCCCUCACCAGCCACAGAGACGCCAGGGCGGCUGCACCCACCUCCAUCGUGUAUGUCUUGCCAGCGCCCGUCUGGCCAUAGGCAAAGAUACAGACGUUGAAGCCAUCGAUGCAGGAGGUGGAUGAUGGAGUCAUCGUCGGGAUCGAAGGUCACGGCAUUGGCCGCCUCAGGCCCUUCCCCAUCCUGUUUGGUGACUGGCCGGACACGGGCAAUCACCCGGAUGUUCCCUGGAUUGUUUGGGUGCGGCACACGAUGGGUCCAGUGGGUCAGGACCAGCCUGCCCCCACCCUGGCGUCCACUGGUGUCCUGAGCCGACUUGCCCCCUGCCUUCUAAGCAAGGCCCCCCCAGGACAAGGGGUCCUACAAAGCUGCCAUCAAUCACUCACACUAUACUGCAGCUCUCGCCGGUACUUGCGCAGCAGCUCCUGGUUGUUGCUGCUGACCUCGUCGAUGGCCUGGCCGAUCUGGUGGGUGCACACAGCUGUCGGGGCCCCGCUGGCCUCGCUCGACCACCCCACCCUGGGCUAAGUACUCUCCGCGAGCUGUCAUGUAUUGCACUUCCCAGUAACCCUCUGGGUAGCGACUGCUUGCUCGCACCCCCACUGUACAGAUGAGACCCAGGGAGGCUGAGCCUGGGGCUCCCAGUUGCCCUGCCUAUGAGCAGAGAGCCAGUCAGCCCUGACCCGCAGCACGGCACCGAACUACGACACGACGUGCCUGGACCCGCAGUCCAGCUCUGCCCCUGGGCCUGCGGCAACCUGCUCAGUUUCCUUCAGCCUUGAUGUUGUCAUCCGUAAAAUGGAGAUAAUUUUCUAACUUGUGGAUCUGGAGGUGGAGAUGAAAAGUCUCCACGUGACAUUUCAUAGGGGAAAAAAGCAGCAAGAUGCAAAUCUGCACAUCCAGCACGUUCCCUCUUGUAGGGUGAAAAGAAGUGUACACAUGUACCCAUUAAUGGGCUUCAAUGUGCUCAGACGCCCCCUGGGGCAGGUGUCUCGGGGGGUGGGCUGCAGCGGCAGGAGAGCCCUGCUCCGUUCAUCUCAUGCCCUUCGGCCGCAUGUGAAUUCUUCACCGUGUCCAUGUAUUUUUAACACAAUAUUUUUUUGAAGAACUAUAUUCUACUCCCAAAAUACAUCAGCCUGUCUACCCUGCAGAGCUGUCAUACAAAUUCAAGGAGCCGACAGCUAUAAAAGCCUCGGCAUGUAGGAGGCGCUUAAGAGAUGCUACUUGUCCGUGCAAGUGUAUCUUAAAAAAUUAAAUGAAAUCUUACAUGUUUGGGGUAUAAAAAUAUAUGUAACAUGCUUGUUCACUUUAAAGACUCAUAGUAAGACAAGCACCCAUAUACCA
This is a long non-coding RNA of Choloepus didactylus (southern two-toed sloth), 3364 nucleotides long. RefSeq lists it as uncharacterized. The record is from RefSeq and is a predicted model, not a curated record. Lineage: Eukaryota; Metazoa; Chordata; Mammalia; Pilosa; Megalonychidae. The transcript has 5 exons.